UGCCCAGCAACUCCUAUCCCUACCUACACGCGGUACCGGCCGGAAACUAUGAGCAACCUUAGGGAAGAUCGGGUAACCAACCCCGGUGGGAACUUUGGUCGUAGGCUGACAGGGAAGG
Non-coding RNA from Aedes albopictus (Asian tiger mosquito), 118 nucleotides. Lineage: Eukaryota; Metazoa; Arthropoda; Insecta; Diptera; Culicidae. The record is from Rfam.